RNAcentral lists this non-coding RNA (27 nucleotides) under Homo sapiens (human). The record is from RNAcentral. Lineage: Eukaryota; Metazoa; Chordata; Mammalia; Primates; Hominidae.
UGGCAGAGCUUGUCUCCAAGGGCUAGA